GUGCCAGCAGCCGCGGUAAUACGUAGGGGGCGAGCGUUGUCCGGAGUUACUGGGCGUAAAGGGCACGCAGGCGGUGCGGCGCGUUUCGCGUGACAGCGGAGGGCUUAACUCUCCGAGGAUGCGAAAGACGGCGGCACUUGAGGGCCAGAGAGGGACACGGAAUUCCGGGUGGAGUGGUGAAAUGCGUAGAGAUCCGGAGGAACACCGAAGGCGAAGGCAGUGUCCUGGCUGGUGACUGACGCUGAGGUGCGAAAGCUAGGGGAGCGAACGGGAUUAGAUACCCCCGUAGUCC
This 292-nucleotide ribosomal RNA is filed under the name uncultured bacterium. RNAcentral describes it as "partial 16S ribosomal RNA". It matches the Rfam family "Bacterial small subunit ribosomal RNA", at positions 505 to 796 of the family's 1533-position model. The record is from RNAcentral.